This 316-nucleotide long non-coding RNA is filed under the name Setaria italica (foxtail millet). RNAcentral's name for it is "long non-coding RNA (SITA_LNC007357)". Lineage: Eukaryota; Viridiplantae; Streptophyta; Magnoliopsida; Poales; Poaceae. The record is from RNAcentral.
CUCGGCGCCGUCCCCGAUGGCCUCUCCCCCGGCCCCGCCCACGGAGGCCCCGACCGCGACCGCGCCCUCCGCAGUGACCCCGACCACCUCAGUCUCCGCCCCGGCCGGCGCCCCCACCGAGACUCCCGCCGGCAACGGCGCCGCCUCCUCCGCCGUCAGCUUCGUCGCCGUCGUCGGCGCGGUCGCCGCCGCCGUCGUGUUCUAGAUGAUGAGAUGCGCCGUCGGAGUGGGUCGUGUCAUGGGAUCUCGUGUUGUUUAUACUGUCAUUCUUUUUGCGAUUCUUUUUUAGAUACUGAUGAUGAUGGAGAGAGAGCAG